Molecule: small nuclear RNA, 169 nt
Organism: Rhineura floridana
Lineage: Eukaryota; Metazoa; Chordata; Lepidosauria; Squamata; Rhineuridae
Product: U1 spliceosomal RNA
Exons: 1
Source: RefSeq, a predicted model, not a curated record
AGCCUAGGCCAGCAGGGUAGAUACCAUGAUCGUGAAGGUGGUUUUCCUAGGGUGAGGUUCAUCCAUUGCACUCCGGGUGUGCUGACCCCUGGAAUUUCCCCGAAUGCGGGAAACUUGACUGCAUAAUUUGUUCUUGUAAACCGCCCAGAGAGCUUCGGCUAUGGGGUGG